GGCAGGUCACAUGGAAGUCUCCCAUAAGAUUUCAUUCAUUUAAACAUUUCAAGGCAAGCUGGUUUUGCCUGCACAGCCCAGAUUUGUGUUAACCUCAUGGGUUGGACCUCAUAACCAAGUCAACACAUGGGAAGUAAUCAAUUGUUUAAGUACGAAGCAGAUGAAACACAUCACUGCCCCUUAGCAUUUAAACAUAUGCACAUCACAGAGGCAUCGGAUGGGGGAAGCAGGAGAGGGCUGAGCAAGUCAGAAAGCCAGCCACAGUGGCAGCAGGGAUUUAGAAUGCAUGGCAGGAUGGCUUGGGUUGGCAGGGAGCUGAAAGCCCCUCCAGUCCCAGGGCCUCAUCCAAUGAAUGCGAUACUGGCUACUGCGAGUUUCCUACUCAGUGUGAACUUUAUCACAUUUCAGGUAUUUAAGAUUACCAGCAGUAUCUACCACCUUGCUUUGGUCCUGUGUUCUCUACUUAAUACUGAAGGCAUUAAUUUCAUUUGUUGCUCUAACUUCAGUGCAAACCUGGUACACUUCCAAAUCUCUUCCAGCAUCCUCAGCCAUAGAGCAGUGAGAGCUGUUAGAGCAGGAAUACCUCACAGCAGCUCACCUGCUCCAGCCUUAUGACUGGGAAUGAGGUAUCUUGACAAAAGUCACCUAAAGAGUUGGAUUACUUCACAUGGCCACCCAUUUUUUAUUUGUAGUGGAAUCUCCAUUAUAAAUGUAGAUUUAGCUUUGUUUCUAGCAAACAGCAGCCUAACAAGCUAAGCCUCCUUGUCCUGGUUUCAGCUGGAAUGGAAUUCAUCUCUUCAGUUCUAGGAGAAAAACAACGCUGAUAACACACUGAUGUUUACAGUCACUGCUAAGCAGCAUUAUACAGAGCCAAAGCCCUUCCCAGUGAAGGGCCCAAGGAGCUGGGAGGGAACAGAGCUAGGGCAGCUGACUGAAACCAGCCAAAGGGAUAUUCCAUACCCUGGAACAUCAUGCAGAUGGAAUUCUGAAGGGGUUGGGAGUUUAUCUUGCUCUCUGCCACUGCCCAGCAGGGCCUUGGUUGGCAAGUGGCAGACAAUUGCUUGUGCAUCAUUUGUUAUGUACAUGCACGUAGUUGCCUAUUAUCCUAUAACUAUUAUCCUUUCCUCCAGCUUAGUAUAUAGUUUUAUCUCAAUCCAUGAGUUCUACUUCCUUUUCUUCCUUUUGAUUCUCCCCUUCAUCUCACUGGGAAGCAGGGCAUGAGGGAACGACUGUGGUGCUCAGCCACCUGCUGGGUUAAACCACAACACUCCAUCAAGCAUUUUCAGGACGAAGAAGCAGCAAUGAGUUGUAUACGAUAUAUAAGUAUGAAGAAGAAUCAAACCAUACACAAACCACAAGCAAAAAAGCAGGGAGGGUCCUGUUUACUUGCAUUUAAUCCAUUUUUAGAAGCAACAAGUGAAAUUCAGAGAGUUCAUACUGAGCCCUUGAAACUCUUCUGCAUCAGCUGGCUACCAUACUUAAAGUCAGUCCCUGGAGGCUGGGGAGCAGCAGGCCAGAACUGCUCGACGUAUGUGGUCCCAUCUUACAAGCACGUGCCCCAAACAGGACUGUGGUUACACAGCACUUACCCAUCCAAGCCCUUAAAACACAGGGAAGUUGUGUCCCUUCAGGGACACCUUAAAGCAGAUGUUCUGAUGUUUCGCAUCUAUUCAAUUGAUCUAAAGAUUCAAAUUACAGCCUAUUAAAAACAGUACGUUAUACGUCAGUGGGAAUCCUUAUUUAGUUUCAAAACACAGCAGUAGGUCUGGAGAACAGUUUUUCAAAAACAUCAGUUUAUUUUGGUGGGUCUGUAUUUAUUCCGUAUUUCUCUUUGAGCAGCUUAAGCUGUUCCUCUUUCUUCUUUGUGUCCAUCUUUUGGAAUGCCCUGUUUGCAUUAUAGUACAAAACGACAAGGUAUCUGUUGCACACGUUGAAUCCUGACAGAUGAUCACAAGCAUUUUUGGCAUCAAAGAUGUCUUCAUAGACUACAUAGGCUGUUCCUCUCGUUUCUGGAGUGUUUCCAACUCUGAUUUGCCGAAUAGGUCCGUAUUUCCCAAAAAUAUCAUACAUCUCCUCCGCGGUGAUUUUAUAAGGCAAGUUCCUGAUGUAUAGGAUCCGAUUGACCUCUGGUGGCAGCCGAAUGUUGGCUCGCUUGGCCGCUUGCAUCGCCAUAGCGCCGGGAUAACGAGGGGCCUUGGGCCUGAGAGAGAAACAGCAAUAAACACCAGUCCUCCAACAGCGGUCCUCCGACGCCUCCGCUCCCCUUAGCGGAAGAUCCGAAUGUUAUCCCAAGAUGCACCGCGCACCCCACCGGAAGUGCUGCCGCGCUACCCCGCGUGACUGUGUGCCCCAGCCCCGCCCGCCUCCCUGCCCCCAUUCCCGCCUCCCGAGGGCUGAGGGGAGCGGUGUCGGCCGCCAUUUUGUUCAGGCGGGGCUGACCUCGCGCCUGCUCAGUUGCAGGAGUCGUGCGGUUUGGAAAGCUGUGGGAAAACAGAAAUGAGCCCACAGCUGAGAGUGGAGAUGGAUGUGGGGUGGUUUUCCCGUGUAAAGGUGUCAUACGCAGUAUCUGCAGGGUGAAUUUCUUUAUUUAUUCACAUAUCCUGUAAGGCUUUGCUUUGGCCCUCAUUUUUUGACACGUUCCACAAUAAAUCAUUUCCAGUUUGGAAGCAGAAAUUGCAGAAUCUCUGCUUUUAAGACAUCUGUAGUGCUCCUGCCUGUAGAGCAGCUACAGCAGGGGGCCUUUCUUUAGGGUGUUUUCACUGGCAUUUCAAUGACAAUUUUGCCAAUAUUCUUACUUUCUUCCAUUUUCCUGUGUGCCUCCACAAUCUCGUGCAGAGGGUAAACACUGUCGACAAAUGGCUGGAGAUGUGGGGAGGCUCCUCCAGAGAAAUACGGCAGCACAUUUUCUAUGAAGGCUUUCACCAGCUGCUCCUUAUACUGGCGAAAAAGAAAGCAUUUUGCAGAUCAUUUCUAGUCAUUUACAUUCACUGAACAGUCUCUGAAUACAGCAUACAAAAUGUGCACCGUUCUCAUACAUUUCUCAGGUCGACGCAUGGACAGCAUCUAUCCUAAAGUGCCAGACUGGUGUCUUUUAUAGUUAUAACUGAAUUUUCCACAUUAAGUGAUUUUCAUUUGGUAAUUUCUGGACUUGAAAUGAGUUUGGUCUCUGCUUUGGAGGGUGUGGCUGCAGAUGACCUGAUGGAGGUUCUUCUCCCUCUCUCUCCCCCAGACUUGAUCAAGUCAUCUGAUCACUUGAGUUUUAUUUCUUAGAACAAAUCUUUCAAUUAUGGUAUUCAGUAAGUAUAUUAAAGAGUCCCAGGUGUUCCCAAUGCAUUCCUGUGAUGCAGUAGUUACUGAAAGGAUGCACUUCAUACAGGAAGAAAAGGGAAAGUAACAUAAUUUUGCAAUGUUUUCUAAAGUAUGUAAUAACAAUUCAAGGUUAUUACCUUGAAGGUAAGGUUAAAAACAAUUCUGCUUUAGAGCUGGUAUCAAAAGAAAACUCUCAAAACUGUCACAUAUUUUAAGAUUAAACUGUAUACAGCGUUGAUAGUCA
RNAcentral lists this long non-coding RNA (3553 nucleotides) under Gallus gallus (chicken). The record is from RNAcentral. Lineage: Eukaryota; Metazoa; Chordata; Aves; Galliformes; Phasianidae.